GCCUGGGUGGCUUAGUUGGUUAAGCAUCCGACUUUGGCUCAGGUCAUGAUCUCACAGUUUGUGGGUGGGUUUGAGCCCCACAUCGGGCU
This 89-nucleotide transfer RNA is filed under the name Felis catus (domestic cat). It matches the Rfam family "tRNA". Rfam says of the family: Transfer RNA (tRNA) molecules are approximately 80 nucleotides in length. The record is from Rfam by way of RNAcentral. Lineage: Eukaryota; Metazoa; Chordata; Mammalia; Carnivora; Felidae.